UACGUAGGGUGCGAGCGUUGUCCGGAAUUAUUGGGCGUAAAGAGCUCGUAGGCGGUGUGUCACGUCGGCCGUGAAAACCUGCAGCUUAACUGUGGGCGUGCGGUCGAUACGGGCAUCACUGGAGUUCGGCAGGGGAGACUGGAAUUCCUGGUGUAGCGGUGAAAUGCGCAGAUAUCAGGAGGAACACCAGUGGCGAAGGCGGUUGCCUGGGGCUUUGCUGACGCUGAUGCGCGAAAGCGUGGGGAGCGAGCCGG
RNAcentral lists this ribosomal RNA (254 nucleotides) under uncultured bacterium. RNAcentral's name for it is "partial 16S ribosomal RNA". It matches the Rfam family "Bacterial small subunit ribosomal RNA", at positions 524 to 776 of the family's 1533-position model. The record is from RNAcentral.